AUGCUUUCGCAGCCCUGUCCCUCCUCCUCCUUCUGCGGAGCAGCCUCCGCGCCGCGCUCCAGCCGCCCGGAGGUGCCUGCCCGGCCCAGCCCAGCCCGGCCCGGCCCGGCCCGGCACGGCCCGGCCCCUCCGGCCCCGGGCUGGCGGAGGGAGGCAGCGGGCACCCAGCCGCGGGGCCCCGGCCAGCCCCUCCGCCUUCCUCGGGGGGGCUCGGAGGGGGGCUCGGCUCUCCUCGCUGCCCCCCCGCCCCCGGCAGGAUGUUGCCCCCCUCCCGGACCCAGCUGGGGCUCUUCUUCAUCCUCCUCUGCCCCGCCAACAUCAUCGGGCUCUGGUGGGCAGUGGGGAGCCCCCUGGUCAUGGACCCCAACAGCAUCUGCCGCAAGACGAAGCGGCUGGCGGGGAAGCAGGCGGAGCUGUGCCAGCUGGAGCCGGAGAUCGUGCAGGAGGUGGCCAAGGGCACCAAGCUGGGCGUGCGGGAGUGCCAGUACCAAUUCCGCUUCCGCCGCUGGAACUGCACCAGCCACAGCAAGUAUUUCGGCAAGAUCCUGCAGCAGGGUAAGGCCGCCUCUUCCCCUGCCUCGCUGCUCCCCUAAAAAGCACCCCGUGCACAGCUCUGUGUGUGUGUGUGUGUGUGUGUGCGCGCAGAGGGGCUCGCUCGGUGCUCCUCUUGAGGUUUUACUGCCGGGACAUGUCUCCCCGUGUUGUAAUGAAGCAAUUAGCGAUGCUCCCAGACAGCGCGGGGCUUCACGCAGCCCAAGAAUGCACCCUCGUCUGGCAGUGAUUUACUGCUCCCCCCCGGGACCCCGCUGCGUGCAGGGGGGGAAGGGGCCUGGCGGGGAGGUGGCCGUGGGGAGCUGCCCCUCGCCCCGCAGGUGCCCGGAGCCUGCAGAUCCCUCGGAGCAGGGUGGGCACCCUGACAUCGCCCUGGACGUGCUUCCCAUGCCCAAAGGCCUUGGGGGGCAUGGGGUGGGGGGGAUGCUAAGGGUCCUUCACUGUCAGCUCCCUGUGAAGGUCCUGGCACAAGCCCCGGUCUCCUUGGCCACCGCAUCUCCCUGGCACGCACCAGAAGAGAGCAGGUACCCCCUUUGGUCAGGGUGGCGGUGCCCUGAGGACAGCAUUUUGCUGUUUUCCUCCUCCUUUCUGGAGGGACCGGCAAGGGCAGGGCACCUUGGGCACCCCACAGCUGCAGGCAUCAGCCGAGAGCUGCAGGCAUCAGCCGAGAGCUCCCCAGGAAACCCUCCCCACAGCACCUUCCAUCCACGGCGGGGUGGCUGGAGGCUGAGCUGCCUGCUGCUGGGGGCAGCCUCUCUCCCCGCGAGGAUGCUGUGCUGGCAACCUGAGAGCUCCUGAGGAUGAGGGUGAGCGUGUACCCGUGCUCUCACACCUCUGUACGCACAGCUGUGGGCUCAGCACCAUGUUGCACGUGCGUGUGUGGCACGUCUCCAACGCACACACGUGUUGCACACGCCUGGGUCAGGAUCUGUGUGGGGCACGGCAGAGCAAUGGGGCAGGAUGAACCCCCCGUCUCCCCUGCCCACCCCCGUGCAGCCUGUGCCACCCUCAGUGCCCUGGUCACAUCCUGGGGGUCACCACCCCGGGCCACCCCUGCCCUGGCACCCAGGGGCCCGCCUGGCACAGGGUGGGGGGUGUGUGGGAUCCCCCCGAGCAGGGCGCCGCGCCCCCGCUGCCAGAAUCCCCCGCUGGCUGCGGCUGCGAGCGGCAGGUCCGGGCAGGGGAAGGAUGCUUGGAAUUUGUGUCCCGGAGCAGAGAGAGACAGGAGCAAAUACUAAUAAUAAAUAAUCCUGCAGGGUGGAGGCUGCGCCGGUG
Molecule: long non-coding RNA, 1827 nt
Filed under: Anas platyrhynchos platyrhynchos (common mallard)
Lineage: Eukaryota; Metazoa; Chordata; Aves; Anseriformes; Anatidae
Description: lncRNA (ENSAPLG00000021496.1)
Source: RNAcentral